CAGCCCUGUAGGAGACACCUCCAGAGAAAGUAACAGCUCUCAAUUGAUUAGCUGAGCUCGCCUUGGCGGGAAGAUCUGGCACAAAUGAAGUAUCUAUAAGGAGCAGCAGAGUCAAGGUGGUGAUCCUGUGGAUGAAUAACUGAAACCUGAUAUACUUGACAGCAGAAAAUAUAAAGCAAAUUGAAAAGGAGAGAGUGUGGAGAUAAAUAAG
Homo sapiens (human) is the source of this 211-nucleotide long non-coding RNA. The record is from Ensembl. Lineage: Eukaryota; Metazoa; Chordata; Mammalia; Primates; Hominidae.